CGCUAGCGGCAGGCUAACACAUGCAAGUCAGGGGCAGCGGGAUGUAGCAAUACAUUGCCGGCGACCGGCGGAUGGGUGCGUAACGCGUAUGCAACCUACCUUAUACAGGGGAAUAACCUUUCGAAAGGGAGACUAACACCCCAUAGUAUUGAUUUAAGGCAUCUUAGAUUAAUUAAAUAUUUAUAGGUAUAAGAUGGGCAUGCGUAUGAUUAGCUAGUUGGUAAGGUAACGGCUUACCAAGGCGACGAUCAUUAGGGGUUCUGAGAGGAAGGUCCCCCCACACUGGUACUGAGACACGGACCAGACUCCUACGGGAGGCAGCAGUGAGGAAUAUUGGUCAAUGGGCGCAAGCCUGAACCAGCCAUGCCGCGUGCAGGAAAGACGGCCUUAUGGGUUGUAAACUGCUUUUACAUAAGACUAACCGUAUAUUUGCGAAUAUACCUGAAUGUAUUAUGAGAAUAAGGAUCGGCUAACUCCGUGCCAGCAGCCGC
This 491-nucleotide ribosomal RNA is filed under the name uncultured bacterium. Its description in RNAcentral is "bacterial SSU rRNA". It matches the Rfam family "Bacterial small subunit ribosomal RNA", at positions 34 to 518 of the family's 1533-position model. The record is from RNAcentral.